This 896-nucleotide unclassified non-coding RNA is filed under the name Hevea brasiliensis (rubber tree). The record is from RNAcentral. Lineage: Eukaryota; Viridiplantae; Streptophyta; Magnoliopsida; Malpighiales; Euphorbiaceae.
AGCAACUAAUGAAAUAUGGGUUGCCAGAAGACUAGAGCUGCCUUCCUUAGCAUAGGCCAGCAGAAACGAGGAAGGUUAGACAUCUGUUUAUUAUAGGAAAAUGGGUGUAGCUGGGGUUGCAUGUAGAGGAAUUAGAAUUCAGGGCUGGUUGAUAUAUUCUACGAGUAAGACAACAAGUAAUGCAAGCUAUUAUGCGAGUGCUCUUGUUGGCCCCAAUAGAACUAUCAUUAUUUUUAUUAUUAUUAGUUCAGCUCUUGGGGAAUGGCCCAGUUGUUUUCCCAACCUGGAAUUUCCUCCAAGUGUACCGACUAAGCAAACUUCUGUAAUUUUGGUCUCUCUUCCUUCUUGUCACAUGUAUGGGUUUUAUUUCUUUACAGUGACGGUUAUUUUGGUGCAGAAACUAAAUGGUUACGGAGGGGAUGCUGACAAGCAUCAAAAUGGGGAGUUGGAUCAGAAUGAGCCGCUGGAGGUGUAGAGGGUGUGCAGUACAAUGUUUCGGGCAUAGAUAUUUUCAUACAUUUUUAACUUCUUGUAAAUACGAGUAGUAGAAAAGUGUAUUCGCCUCAUUCUUUCAUGUUCAUAUGCUUGGAAAACUGUAGAGGACUCUUUGCCAUACAUAAGUGAUUGACUAUACAAUAUAAUGAAUAAGAGAGUAUGAGAUUCCAGUUCACAGCGUAUUUUUACGAGAGAGUAAAUAGAUUCUACAUUUCUUUUGCUUAGGCAGGCACAGCUUUUCUUUACCUUGUAGAUUAAACCGUCUCAGGUUCAACUUUAGUGGAUGCAAAGCGAAUGGAGGCAGCUAUUCCUUGUGCUUGUAUCUUUUAAUGAUUGUUGAGAAAAUCAGCUUUUAGCUUUGCAUUUCCGCUUCCUGCUGAGGCGAUAGAUUCACAGUAAAU